Molecule: ribosomal RNA, 486 nt
Filed under: uncultured bacterium
Lineage: Bacteria
Description: partial 16S ribosomal RNA
Rfam family: Bacterial small subunit ribosomal RNA
Source: RNAcentral
GAUGAACGCUAGCGGCAGGCUUAACACAUGCAAGUCGAGGGGCAGCGCGGGAUAGCAAUAUCCUGGCGGCGACCGGCGGGAGGGUGCGUAACGCGUGAGCGACAUGCCCGUUGCCCGGGGACAACCGGUGGAAACGCCGACUAAUCCCCGAUGGGAUACGAUGCUUCAUGGCAUUGUAUUGAAAGUUACGGCGGCGACGGAUUGGCUCGCGUCCGAUUAGCUGGUUGGCGGGGUAACGGCCCACCAAGGCUGCGAUCGGUAGGGGUUCUGAGAGGAAGGCCCCCCACAAUGGGACUGAGACACGGCCCAGACUCCUACGGGAGGCAGCAGUGAGGAAUAUUGGUCAAUGGGCGGAAGCCUGAACCAGCCAUGCCGCGUGCGGGAAGGAGGCCCUAUGGACUGUGAACCGCUUUUGCCUGGGGGCAAUAAGGGCGUCGCGCACGUCCGAUGAGAGUACCAGGCGAAUAAGCAUCGGCUAACUCCGUG